Molecule: ribosomal RNA, 347 nt
Filed under: uncultured bacterium
Lineage: Bacteria
Description: partial 16S ribosomal RNA
Rfam family: Bacterial small subunit ribosomal RNA
Source: RNAcentral
CCUACGGGUGGCAGCAGUGAGGAAUAUUGGGCAAUGGACGAGAGUCUGAACCAGCCAAGUAGCGUGAAGGAUGACGGCCCUAUGGGGUGUAAACUUCUUUUAUAGGGGAAUAAAAUGGUACACGUGAGGGAUGUUGUAUGUACCAUAUGAAUAAGGAUCGGCUAACUCCGUGCCAGCAGCCGCGGUAAUACGGAGGAUCCGAGCGUUAUCCGGAUUUAUUGGGGUUAAAGGGAGCGUAGGGGGAUUGUUAAGUCAGUUGUGAAGGUUUGCGGCUCAACCGUAAAAUUGCAGUUGAAACUGGCAGUCUUGAGUACAGUAGAGGUGGGCGGACUUCGUUGUGUAGCGGU